UUAAUAUCUCCAUUUUUGUUUUGAACAAUUUAUUCUAAUUUAGAAUAUUAAU
RNAcentral lists this transfer RNA (52 nucleotides) under Liposcelis entomophila. RNAcentral's name for it is "tRNA-Gln". Lineage: Eukaryota; Metazoa; Arthropoda; Insecta; Psocodea; Liposcelididae. The record is from RNAcentral.